This 1144-nucleotide ribosomal RNA is filed under the name Klebsiella sp. SI-PI-3B. RNAcentral's name for it is "bacterial SSU rRNA". It matches the Rfam family "Bacterial small subunit ribosomal RNA", at positions 39 to 1178 of the family's 1533-position model. The record is from RNAcentral. Lineage: Bacteria; Pseudomonadati; Pseudomonadota; Gammaproteobacteria; Enterobacterales; Enterobacteriaceae.
GCGGCAGCUACACAUGCAGUCGAGCGGUAGCACAGAGAGCUUGCUCUCGGGUGACGAGCGGCGGACGGGUGAGUAAUGUCUGGGAAACUGCCUGAUGGAGGGGGAUAACUACUGGAAACGGUAGCUAAUACCGCAUAACGUCGCAAGACCAAAGUGGGGGACCUUCGGGCCUCAUGCCAUCAGAUGUGCCCAGAUGGGAUUAGCUGGUAGGUGGGGUAACGGCUCACCUAGGCGACGAUCCCUAGCUGGUCUGAGAGGAUGACCAGCCACACUGGAACUGAGACACGGUCCAGACUCCUACGGGAGGCAGCAGUGGGGAAUAUUGCACAAUGGGCGCAAGCCUGAUGCAGCCAUGCCGCGUGUGUGAAGAAGGCCUUCGGGUUGUAAAGCACUUUCAGCGGGGAGGAAGGCGGUGAGGUUAAUAACCUCAUCGAUUGACGUUACCCGCAGAAGAAGCACCGGCUAACUCCGUGCCAGCAGCCGCGGUAAUACGGAGGGUGCAAGCGUUAAUCGGAAUUACUGGGCGUAAAGCGCACGCAGGCGGUCUGUCAAGUCGGAUGUGAAAUCCCCGGGCUCAACCUGGGAACUGCAUUCGAAACUGGCAGGCUAGAGUCUUGUAGAGGGGGGUAGAAUUCCAGGUGUAGCGGUGAAAUGCGUAGAGAUCUGGAGGAAUACCGGUGGCGAAGGCGGCCCCCUGGACAAAGACUGACGCUCAGGUGCGAAAGCGUGGGGAGCAAACAGGAUUAGAUACCCUGGUAGUCCACGCUGUAAACGAUGUCGAUUUGGAGGUUGUGCCCUUGAGGCGUGGCUUCCGGAGCUAACGCGUUAAAUCGACCGCCUGGGGAGUACGGCCGCAAGGUUAAAACUCAAAUGAAUUGACGGGGGCCCGCACAAGCGGUGGAGCAUGUGGUUUAAUUCGAUGCAACGCGAAGAACCUUACCUGGUCUUGACAUCCACAGAACUUUCCAGAAAAUGGAUUGGUGCCUUCGGGAACUGUGAAACAAGUGCUGCAUGGCUGUCGUCAGCUCGUGUUGUGAAAUGUUGGGUUAAGUCCCGCAACGAGCGCAACCCUUAUCCUUUGUUGCCAGCGGUCCGGCCGGGAACUCAAAGGAGACUGCCAGUGAUAAACUGGAGGAAGGUGGGG